RNAcentral lists this ribosomal RNA (114 nucleotides) under Pogona vitticeps (central bearded dragon). Lineage: Eukaryota; Metazoa; Chordata; Lepidosauria; Squamata; Agamidae. The record is from RNAcentral.
UCACCAUACAGCCAUGAACACACCAAGAAUGUUUGACUUCGGGAAAACUAAGCAUGGUUGAGUCUAAUUAGUACUUGGAUGAGAAACCACCAGGGAAAACCAGGGAUACCUGGC